GACGAACGCUGGCGGCGUGCUUAACACAUGCAAGUCGAGCGGUAAGGCUCCUUUGGGAGUACACGAGCGGCGAACGGGUGAGUAACACGUGAGCAAUCUGCCCUUCACUUCGGGAUAACUCCGGGAAACCGGUGCUAAUACCGAAUACGACCACUUCAGGCAUCUGAUGGUGGUGGAAAGUUCCGGCGGUGAAGGAUGAGCUCGCGGCCUAUCAGCUUGUUGGUGGGGUAAUGGCCCACCAAGGCAACGACGGGUAGCCGGCCUGAGAGGGUGACCGGCCGCACUGGGACUGAGACACGGCCCAGACUCCUACGGGAGGCAGCAGGUGGGGAAUAUUGGACCAAUGGGCGAAAGCCUGAUCCAGCAACGCCGCGUGAGGGA
This 381-nucleotide ribosomal RNA is filed under the name uncultured bacterium. Its description in RNAcentral is "bacterial SSU rRNA". It matches the Rfam family "Bacterial small subunit ribosomal RNA", at positions 28 to 408 of the family's 1533-position model. The record is from RNAcentral.